GAUGAAGAACGCAGCGAAUUGCGAUAAGUAAUGUGAAUUGCAGAAUUCAGUGAAUCAUCGAAUCUUUGAACGCACCUUGCGCCCUUUGGACUUCUGAAGGGCAUGCCUGUUUGAGUAUCAUGAACACCUCAACUCCUUAUGGUCUUCCAUGAUGAGCUUGGACUUUGGGGGUUUUGCUGGCCUACAGUCAGCUCCUCUAAAAUAAAUCAGCUUACCGGUGUUUGGUGGGUAUCAUGGGUGUGAUAACUAUCUACGCUCGUGGUUUUCCACCAGGUAACCUUCAGCAGUGGAGGUUCACUGGAGCUCAUAGAUGUCUCUCCUCAGCGAGGACAGCCCUUUGAAUGUUUGAUCUCAAAUCAGGUAGGACUACCCGCUGAACUUAAGCAUAUCAAUAAGCGGAGGA
RNAcentral lists this unclassified non-coding RNA (403 nucleotides) under soil metagenome. RNAcentral's name for it is "partial contains 5.8S ribosomal RNA, internal transcribed spacer 2, and large subunit ribosomal RNA". The stretch from base 1 to 120 matches the Rfam family "5.8S ribosomal RNA", at positions 35 to 154 of the family's 154-position model. The record is from RNAcentral.